Molecule: RNase P RNA, 364 nt
Filed under: uncultured Shimia sp.
Lineage: Bacteria; Pseudomonadati; Pseudomonadota; Alphaproteobacteria; Rhodobacterales; Roseobacteraceae
Description: Bacterial RNase P class A
Rfam family: Bacterial RNase P class A
About the family: Ribonuclease P (RNase P) is a ubiquitous endoribonuclease, found in archaea, bacteria and eukarya as well as chloroplasts and mitochondria.
Source: RNAcentral
AGCUGGAUGGCCGUGGGGGCGUAAGCCCGCGAGGAAAGUCCGGACUCCACAAAGCAACGGUGCCGGGUAACGCCCGGCCGGGGAAACCCGAGGGAAAGCGCCACAGAAAACAGACCGCUCUCGCUUGCGAGAGUAAGGGUGAAACGGUGGGGUAAGAGCCCACCGCGCGGCUGGCAACAGCGGCGGCACGGCAAGCCCCACCGGGAGCAAUGCCAAAUAGGGACCGCGUGUGCGCAAGCACAGGAGCGCUUUGCUCCGAGCAGGUCCGGGUUGGCAGCUUGAGGUGUCUGGUAACAGGCACCCUAGAUGAAUGGUCAUUGAACUGGCUUCGGUCGGGGAACAGAAUCCGGCUUAUAGGCUCUCU